Long non-coding RNA from Corapipo altera (White-ruffed manakin), 2308 nucleotides. RefSeq lists it as uncharacterized. NCBI's taxonomy places the organism in Eukaryota, Metazoa, Chordata, Aves, Passeriformes, Pipridae. The record is from RefSeq and is a predicted model, not a curated record. The transcript has 2 exons.
CCCGCCGCAGGUGCCACCUCGGGCAUCCCCCGCGCCCCUUCCCCAGCCCCUGCAGGCGAUGCGGAGCCCGCAGGAGAGCGACCAUGGAAGGGUUUAUUUAGCACACGAAAUACGAAAUGAGGGGCAGAGCGGCGGAGGUGCGGACGGGGCGGACGCCGCGCGGCCAAGAUGGAGUCCAGAGGUUAAGAAGAGCCCAGCACACAUGGAUAUGGAUAACAGGAACAUCUUUUAGUGGAUUAGACAAAAUAAAAAUGAAGCUCCUGCUAUUUCAACAGCUGCAUCGGGGCUGAAUGGAAGCUCCCCAAAAUAUGGCAAAAAAAUUAACAACUCACCAGCAGUGAUUUUUUUGCUUCUCUCUCUGUAAUCUGCAGUGGUGACUGGGGAGGGAAGAGGACUCUGAGCUGGGCAGACCCUGGGUUUGUGUUCUCUGGGGGGAGGACAGCAAGUGAACAACCUUUGGUUAAAAUGCCACCUGAGUGGGAAACACCUCCUGCUCCCUGAGCCUCGGGAAUUUAUCAUUUCUUUUGGGAACAGCCAUAACUUGCUGUUCUCCCCAAUGUUAGAUGGAAAUAAAGUUAGAAAAACUGUAUUUUUUCCUCAGAACAAUUUCUGAAGCUGAACUGACAUAAUUCUGGUCUGUCAGCUGAGCUCAACUCUCCAGUUUGUCAUCUGAAAAUGGAAGCAGGAAUAAUUUUAUGAAGUCUAAUUAGUGCAAAGUGCUCCUGGUAGCAAAGAGAGCUUUUGGUUCAAGGCUCUCAGGCCACUUUGGGCCAAGUACUCAAAUUACAGAGGGUUCAGCCAGAGAUCCAAGAGGUGCUGCUGUGCUUGUGAUAUCAGGGGAGAAACAGCAGAGACUGCAGAGUUACAGCCACCUGAAUUCACAUCAUAAAUAAAUCAAUAGGUGAGCAGGAGACAAAAAUCUGCCUGGUUGCAGAACUGUUGGGUCCCUGCUGGUCGUGUCAUGAUGGUUUCACCUCUGUGGCUUUUGGAGAGGAGACCUUCCUUCAGCUUGGGAUAUGCAAAGUAUUUUGUAAAUGGAGAGGAGAUUUUGGCAGCCAGAACAGAACAAACAACCCAGGACAGGUUCCUCUGCUCCCUUCAGUGGUGCUCAACCCACAGUGGCCACAGGGUUUUCACCCCAGCUUUAGCAGGAAUACAAGGAAGGAAGGGUAAUAAGGAAUGCUCCCAGUGACACUAACUCAGCUGGACAGCUGUGCUCUGGAGGAGAGGCUGAUCUCCUUGAUGCUGCUCUGCCUGCUACCUCAGGGCUGUACCCAAGGGAUGACAUUGCAUUUGCUGAGUCAGGAGCAAAGCCUGGAUUUGUCAGACAGAGGAGAUGGGCUUAGUCACCUCUCUGAGUUCAUUCCCAGUCCUCUUCUCAAAAGCACAGCCCCUCACAGAGCCCUUAAAUCCCGGGAAGAGUGGGAGCAGGGGGGCCCAGGAAAGCAGGAUGUGUUUAUCCCCCCUGCUCCCUUUUUGCCAGGUUGUCCUGCCAAAAUGCUGAGUCGCUGGGGCCACAUCUCCCACCUCUGAGCAGCUGUGGCAGCAGCAGAGGCUUUGCAGGAGCCCAGGGCUGACAGCUCCUGAGGCACUCACCCUGGUGUUCUGUGCCAGGAUGGAGCCUGUGGCAUCUGCAGGGAUGGUCUCCAAGCAGGAGACAAGCUGGGAUUUGCCACCUCGUGUCACGUUCACGUGUGGCUGUUCAAAGCUGUGUCCAUAAACUGCAGCUUCUGUGGACAGGUGUGGGUAGGCAGGACCAGAGCAACUUAUUCCCACUUCAACUACUUUGAGCAGGGUGUGGACAUGGUGCACAAAAUCAUUUUAAGUACAUUAGAAGAUUUUUCUAGUACAGAAUAAAAGAGGUUUUCUUCAGCCACCUGCACUGGGAGUUCAAGUGAAGGUCCUGUACUCUGCAAAGCACAGGCAGAACCCUCGUGGUUGCUCACUUAUCCCUCAGCAGAGAAGUGAGAGCAGACACAAUCCCUGCUUUUACCCCCUUGAAAGUCAUUCCCAAAGAACAUCCACGACCUUCUCAGAGAGAAGGGGUGGGCUUGAACCUCCUCAUCCCUUUCAUCCCUGUCACUCAUUUAAUCCCCAGUGUGAGCAGAGAGUGACAAAACCACACAGUGACAUCAGGAAUGGCACAAAAACGUUGCUGCAGAGUCAACCUCCUCCAGCAAGGGGCGAAAGGCGAAAUAAAAGCGUGAGGUGUUGAGGCACAAGCUGGACAGUGAAAUAGGUGACACCACAAGUCCUUCUGAAACUGAAUUGCCCAAAUGUCACUGGGCAGACACCAGGAAUCAUCACU